RNAcentral lists this ribosomal RNA (426 nucleotides) under uncultured beta proteobacterium. RNAcentral's name for it is "bacterial SSU rRNA". It matches the Rfam family "Bacterial small subunit ribosomal RNA", at positions 356 to 774 of the family's 1533-position model. Lineage: Bacteria; Pseudomonadati; Pseudomonadota; Betaproteobacteria. The record is from RNAcentral.
GGGGAAUAUUGGACAAUGGGCGCAAGCCUGAUCCAGCCAUGCCGCGUGGGUGAAGAAGGCCUUCGGGUUGUAAAGCCCUUUUGUUGGGAAAGAAACAGCACAGGUUAAUACCUUGUGCGAAUGACGGUACCUGAAGAAUAAGCACCGGCUAACUACGUGCCAGCAGCCGCGGUAAUACGUAGGGUGCAAGCGUUAAUCGGAAUUACUGGGCGUAAAGGGUGCGCAGGCGGUUUAUCAAGAAAGGUGUGAAAUCCCCGGGCUCAACCUGGGAAUGGCACUUUUAACUGAUAGGCUAGAGUAUGUCAGAGGGGGGUAGAAUUCCACGUGUAGCAGUGAAAUGCGUAGAGAUGUGGAGGAAUACCGAUGGCGAAGGCAGCCCCCUGGGAUAAUACUGACGCUCAUGCACGAAAGCGUGGGGAGCAAACA